UACGGGGGGUGCGAGCGUUGUCCGGAAUCACUGGGCGUAAAGGGCGCGUAGGUGGCGUGAUAAGGGUGUGGUGAAAGCCCGGGGCUCAACCCCGGGUCUGCCAUGCCGACUGUCAGGCUGGAGUACUGUAGGGGCAGGCGGAAUUCCGGGUGUAGCGGUGGAAUGCGUAGAGAUCCGGAAGAACACCGGUGGCGAAGGCGGCCUGCUGGGCAGUUGCUGACACUGAGGCGCGACAGCGUGGGGAGCAAACAGG
RNAcentral lists this ribosomal RNA (253 nucleotides) under uncultured bacterium. RNAcentral's name for it is "partial 16S ribosomal RNA". It matches the Rfam family "Bacterial small subunit ribosomal RNA", at positions 524 to 776 of the family's 1533-position model. The record is from RNAcentral.